AUGGCAACACCGUUUGUUGCUCUCGCUCAACCAAUCAAUGCUUUAGCUUUUGUUUUUGACGGUGUCAAUUAUGGAGCAUCGGAUUUUGCAUAUGCUGCUUAUUCGUUGGCAAGUCCGCUAAUUUUCCAGCUUAUUUGUGCUCUGGCUUUCCAGCUUUCUCUUCUGACACAUUCCAUUGAAUUAGAGAAAAGUAUUCUUUUCAUCUCUCAAUUUUUGGCGAAGUCUAGAUUUAAUCCUUCAACUAUGAAACCGGACAACUUGCAUCUCAAACUCUUAAUACCGGACAAAUUUCGUCCCUUGUAG
Molecule: ribosomal RNA, 303 nt
Filed under: Triticum aestivum (bread wheat)
Lineage: Eukaryota; Viridiplantae; Streptophyta; Magnoliopsida; Poales; Poaceae
Description: partial small subunit ribosomal RNA
Source: RNAcentral